RNAcentral lists this ribosomal RNA (422 nucleotides) under Verrucomicrobiota bacterium. RNAcentral describes it as "Verrucomicrobia bacterium partial 16S ribosomal RNA". It matches the Rfam family "Bacterial small subunit ribosomal RNA", at positions 355 to 776 of the family's 1533-position model. Lineage: Bacteria; Pseudomonadati; Verrucomicrobiota. The record is from RNAcentral.
UGGGGAAUUUUGCACAAUGGGCGCAAGCCUGAUGUAGCGACGCCGCGUGAGGGAUGAAGGCCUUCGGGUUGUAAACCUUUUUCGCUCAUGGUCAAGCCGCAGCUUUGGGUUGUGGUGAGGGUAGUGGGUAAAGAAGCGCCGGCUAACUACGUGCCAGCAGCCGCGGUAAUACGUAGGGCGCGAGCGUUGUCCGGAAUUAUUGGGCGUAAAGGGCUUGUAGGCGGUUGGCCGCGUCUGCCGUGAAAUCCUCUGGCUUAACUGGGGGCGUGCGGUGGGUACGGGUUGACUUGAGUGCGGUAGGGGAGACUGGAAUUCCUGGUGUAGCGGUGGAAUGCGCAGAUAUCAGGAGGAACACCGGUGGCGAAGGCGGGUCUCUGGGCCGUUACUGACGCUGAGGAGCGAAAGCGUGGGGAGCGAACAGG